This is a non-coding RNA of Myotis lucifugus (little brown bat), 102 nucleotides long. The record is from Rfam. Lineage: Eukaryota; Metazoa; Chordata; Mammalia; Chiroptera; Vespertilionidae.
CAUGCACUGGUGGGGUCCCUCAGCCUGGCCUGCGGAUAUCCCCUGAGGAGUCCUGGAUUUCGAGAGGGUAUAGGCCAGGCUGAGGGGCCCCACCAGUGCAUG